This 604-nucleotide long non-coding RNA is filed under the name Gossypium raimondii (Peruvian cotton). RNAcentral's name for it is "long non-coding RNA (GRAI_LNC002451)". Lineage: Eukaryota; Viridiplantae; Streptophyta; Magnoliopsida; Malvales; Malvaceae. The record is from RNAcentral.
UCCACCUGCACCACCAGCUCCACCGGCACCACCAGCUCCACCUCCUUCACCACCCCCACCGCCAUAUCCAGAAGCUCCACCACCAUAUCCACCUGCACUAGCUCCGCCGCCACCACUACCGCCACCACCUCCAUGUCCACCUGCACCACCAGCUCCACCGGCACCACCAGCUCCACCUCCUUCGCCACCUCCACCGCCAUAUCCAGAAGCUCCACCACCAUAUCCACCUGCACUAGCUCCGCCACCACCACUACCACCACCACCUCCAAUUCCACCCGCUCCUCCAUACCCGCCGGCACCACCAGCUCCGCCUCCUUCACCACCUCCACCACCAUAUCCAGAAGCUCCACCGCCAUAUCCACCUGCACUAGCUCCACCACCACCAUUGCCACCUCCUCCACCACCUCCAUAACCAGCAGGACCGCCACCACCACCUUCUCCUUUACCACCACCACCUCCAUAUCCAGCAGCUCCGGCUUCUCCUAGAUUUGCAUGGGCACCGCCACCUCCUGCACCUCCUCCACCUCCUCCUCCAAGGUAGCCAUUACCAUAUACCCCAACAUUGGCACCACCAUGACCAAUGCUCGAAAGGUGAGGAGUUACU